RNAcentral lists this ribosomal RNA (407 nucleotides) under uncultured bacterium. RNAcentral's name for it is "partial 16S ribosomal RNA". It matches the Rfam family "Bacterial small subunit ribosomal RNA", at positions 28 to 526 of the family's 1533-position model. The record is from RNAcentral.
GACGAACGCUGGCGGCGUGCCUAAUACAUGCAAGUAGGACGCAGUUGCGAACGGGUGAGUAACGCGUCGGUAACUGCCUAUUAGUGGGGGCUAACUAUUGGAAACGAUAGCUAAUACCGCAUACUAGUAGAUGGACCUGCGUUGUAUUAGCUAGUAGGUAGGGUAAUGGCCUACCUAGGCAACGAUACAUAGCCGAGCUGGAGGGGAGGUCGGCCACACUGGGACUGGGACACGGCCCAGAAUCCUACGGGAGGGAGCAGUAGGGAAUCUUCGGCAAUGGGGGGAAACCUGACCGAGCAACGCCGCGUGAGUGAAGAAGGUUUUCGGAUCGUAAAGCUCUGUUGUUAAGGAAGCGGUACUUAACCAGAAAGGGACGGCUAACUACGUGCCAGCAGCCGCGGUAAUAC